Oncorhynchus keta (chum salmon) is the source of this 373-nucleotide long non-coding RNA. RefSeq lists it as uncharacterized. Lineage: Eukaryota; Metazoa; Chordata; Actinopteri; Salmoniformes; Salmonidae. The record is from RefSeq and is a predicted model, not a curated record. The transcript is spliced from 3 exons.
GGAGAGGUAAGGAGAGAGAGAGCGGAGGGAGAGGUAAGGAGAGAGAGAGCGGAGGGAGAGGUAAGGAGAGAGAGAGCGGAGGGAGAGGUAAGGAGAGAGAGAGCGGAGGGAGAGGUAAGGAGAGAGAGAGCGGAGGGAGAGGUAAGGAGAGAGAGAGCGGAGGGAGAGGUAAGGAGAGAGAGAGCGGAGGGAGAGGUAAGGAGAGAGAGAGCGGAGGGAGAGGUAAGGAGAGAGAGAGCGGAGGGAGAGGUAAGGAGAGAGAGAGCGGAGGGAGAGGUAAGGAGAGAGAGAGCGGAGGGAGAGGUAAGGAGAGAGAGAGCGGAGGGAGAGGUAAGGAGAGAGAGAGCGGAGGGAGAGGUAAGGAGAGAGAGAG